UGAGGGCGGUCGACCAGCAUGCAGAGGGACAGAUGACGGAGAAGGGCUGGGCCGAGAGAGGAAGCGCCGGUGGUUGGCGGUGGCGCGGCCGGAGGCCAGGCGUGCUGCCUGCUGCGUAGACGGCAGCAGCGGCGGCGGUCUUCCUCGGCCGUCCGCCGCAGAGGACGCAAAGGAGGGGGAGUGGCGCGAGGCGGCUGAAGGCGAGUCUCGCCGGAGUGGCUGCAGGCGGCGGCGGCAACGGAUCUGGGAGGAAGAAGAAGUGGCGGAGAUUCUGGAAGAGAGAGAGAGUGGAGAGAGUUUUGAGUGAGGUGAGAGAGGGACGACCAGAGGGAGGUGUUUUCGGCGAGGAUUUCGCCGGAGCUGGAGCAGGCGGCCGGCGUGGAGCUUGGGGAGGAAGGGCGGAGGUUCUGGAGAGAGGGAACGAGAGCUUGGGGAGGAGAGAGAACCGAUGGGGGGGGGGUUUGAAGAGAGAGAAAUCUUGUUUUAUUAUUCCUUUAUUUUAGGGCUUUAUUUCUUUAAAAUUUGGACUCAUACUUUGGGCUUUACUAAUUAUUUAUUGUGUGGGCUGAUUUUGUUAAAUCAAUGGGCCGAUUUUUUUUAAUAUAAGCACUUGACCUAUUUUAAUCUUUUGAAUGGGCUUCAUAAUGGAUCUAGAUUGUUUUUGGGCUGCACUAUCUAUAACAGGCCUUUACAUUAUUAUCUUGGGUUUUAACUAAUAUCUUGAGCUUGAAAAUAGUUUAAUAAUAAACUAUUAAUUUUUCUCCCAAUAUUAAGGUUUAUAUUAUCUUUAAAAUUUUUAAUUA
This 803-nucleotide long non-coding RNA is filed under the name Salvia miltiorrhiza (redroot sage). Its description in RNAcentral is "long non-coding RNA (SMIL_LNC000981)". The record is from RNAcentral. Lineage: Eukaryota; Viridiplantae; Streptophyta; Magnoliopsida; Lamiales; Lamiaceae.